This 448-nucleotide ribosomal RNA is filed under the name Nocardiopsis sp. 1910BAB. Its description in RNAcentral is "bacterial SSU rRNA". It matches the Rfam family "Bacterial small subunit ribosomal RNA", at positions 62 to 514 of the family's 1533-position model. Lineage: Bacteria; Bacillati; Actinomycetota; Actinomycetes; Streptosporangiales; Nocardiopsidaceae. The record is from RNAcentral.
UCGAGCGGUAAGGCCCUUCGGGGUACACGAGCGGCGAACGGGUGAGUAACACGUGAGCAACCUGCCCCUGACUCUGGGAUAAGCGGUGGAAACGCCGUCUAAUACCGGAUACGACCCGCCACCUCAUGGUGGAGGGUGGAAAGUUUUUCGGUCAGGGAUGGGCUCGCGGCCUAUCAGCUUGUUGGUGGGGUAACGGCCUACCAAGGCGAUUACGGGUAGCCGGCCUGAGAGGGCGACCGGCCACACUGGGACUGAGACACGGCCCAGACUCCUGCGGGAGGCAGCAGUGGGGAAUAUUGCGCAAUGGGCGAAAGCCUGACGCAGCGACGCCGCGUGGGGGAUGACGGCCUUCGGGUUGUAAACCUCUUUUACCACCAACGCAGGCUCGAAGUUCUCUUCGGGUUGACGGUAGGUGGGGAAUAAGGACCGGCUAACUACGUGCCAGCAG